GACGAACGCUGGCGGCGUGCUUAACACAUGCAAGUCGAACGGAAAGGCCCUGCUUUUGUGGGGUGCUCGAGUGGCGAACGGGUGAGUAACACGUGAGUAACCUGCCCUUGACUUUGGGAUAACUUCAGGAAACUGGGGCUCAUACCGGAUAGGAGCUCCUGCUGCAUGGUGGGGGUUGGAAAGUUUCGGCGGUUGGGGAUGGACUCGACGCUUAUCAGCUUGUUGGGGGGGUAGUGGCUUACCAAGGCUUUGACGGGUAGCCGGCAUGGGAGGGUGACCGGCCACAUGGGGACUGAGAUACGGACCAGACUCCUACGGGAGGCAGCAGUGGGGAAUAUUGCGCAAUGGGCGGAAGCCUGAUGCAGCAACGCCGCGUGCGGGAUGACGGCCUUCGGGUUGUAAACCGCUUUCGCCUGUGACGAAGCGUGAGUGACGGUAAUGGGUAAAGAAGCACCGGCUAACUACGUG
Molecule: ribosomal RNA, 468 nt
Filed under: uncultured bacterium
Lineage: Bacteria
Description: partial 16S ribosomal RNA
Rfam family: Bacterial small subunit ribosomal RNA
Source: RNAcentral